Molecule: long non-coding RNA, 657 nt
Organism: Cryptotermes secundus
Lineage: Eukaryota; Metazoa; Arthropoda; Insecta; Blattodea; Kalotermitidae
Exons: 3
Source: RefSeq, a predicted model, not a curated record
UUGAUAUGACUAAUUGUAUUCACUCUACAUGUAUACCACAGCUGAUCAUUUUAUUUGCUGUUGAACAUGAUUGAGGUGAACCGAAGACACAUACAGAUAUAAUUGAAGGAAGUCUUAUGAUUAUUGAGAUGAAUUUUGACUUGAACAUUCAUUUUCAUACAUAUUUUAUUAUACAAGAUUUGUAGAUCAGAUGGCAGAGAGCGUGAGAAGAUCACUGUGUUCUAAGAUGGGACGCUGUGUAACUUGUAGAAGUUUACUUGCUGCUUACCUUGCGAAUCUGAAGUUGAAGUUAAAUGUACCUGUGCUACUAACCAUGCCUGUCUCCACAAAUGCGAGACUACAGUGUAGGCGGUCUUCCCUUGUGAGGAGGUGUCAUCUCAGAAAUUGCAGGUUAUUUUCCUCAGUUGGAUAUGAGAAAAUCUAUUUAACAGUAUAGUAUGGUGAGGAAAUAUGACCAGCACUUGCUGUUCAGCUGUGAAUUCUUGUGAUAUGUAAUAUUCAUGAUUCUUAAGUUACUGAACCGUUUUAAGACCAAAUGUGUAUAUUAAUAAAUGCUACAUUCUUGUGGAGAAUUUAGAAAUUGGAGUCUUUCUAGUAAAAACGUAAAACUAUCUCUGUGAAGGGCCAUAAGGUUGUGAGAUGAGGGUCCCACGUUAU